GACGAACGCUGGCGGCGUGCUUAACACAUGCAAGUCGAACGGUGAAGCGAGUGCUUGCACUCGUGGAUCAGUGGCGAACGGGUGAGUAUCACGUGAGUAACCUGCCCAUCACUCUGGGAUAAGCACUGGAAACGGUGUCUAAUCCUGGAUACGACAAACCCUUCCAUGGGGUGUUGGUGGACAUAUUUAUCGGUGAUGGAUGGACUCGCGGCCUCUCAGCUUGUUGUCGGGGUAAUGGCGCACCAAGGCGGCGACGGGUAGCCGGCCUGGGAGGGGGACCGGCCACACUGGGACUGAGAGACGGCCCAGACUCCUACGGGAGGCAGAAGUGGGGAAUAUUGCACAAUGGGCGAAAGCGUGAUGAAGCGACGCCGCGUGAGGGAUGACGGCCUUCGGGUUGUAAACCGCUUUCAGCAGAGAAGAAGCGAAAGUGACGGUACCUGCAGAAGAAGCACCGGCUAACUACGUG
Molecule: ribosomal RNA, 469 nt
Filed under: uncultured bacterium
Lineage: Bacteria
Description: partial 16S ribosomal RNA
Rfam family: Bacterial small subunit ribosomal RNA
Source: RNAcentral